AUUGAACGCUGGCGGCAGGCCUAACACAUGCAAGUCGAACGGUAGCACAGAGAGCUUGCUCUCGGGUGACGAGUGGCGGACGGGUGAGUAACGUCAGGGAAACUGCCCGAUGGAGGGGGAUAACUACUGGAAACGGUAGCUAAUACCGCAUAACGUCGCAAGACCAAAGUGGGGGACCUUCGGGCCUCACACCAUCGGAUGUGCCCAGAUGGGAUUAGCUAGUAGGUGGGGUAAUGGCUCACCUAGGCGACGGUCCCUAGCUGGUCUGAGAGGAUGACCAGCCACACUGGAACUGAGACACGGUCCAGACUCCUACAGGAGGCAGCAGUGGGGAAUAUUGCACAAUGGGCGCAAGCCUGAUGCAGCCAUGCCGCGUGUAUGAAGAAGGCCUUCGGGUUGUAAAGUACUUUCAGCGGGGAGGAAGGCGGUGAAGUUAAUAGCUUCACCGAUUGACGUUACCCGCAGAAGAAGCACCGGCUAACUCCGUGCCAGCAGCCGCCGUAA
RNAcentral lists this ribosomal RNA (504 nucleotides) under uncultured bacterium. RNAcentral describes it as "partial 16S ribosomal RNA". It matches the Rfam family "Bacterial small subunit ribosomal RNA", at positions 29 to 523 of the family's 1533-position model. The record is from RNAcentral.